AUGUCUUUUAUGAUCACAGCAGUGAUUGUAGCACAAAACACAUUUUGGACUUUGGCCCUUCAGAGUCAGUUACAUAUCUUUUGACACUAUAAAGAAAGUCCUAAAAGAGCAAACAAAGGAACUCACAUGUUUCUUAAAUAGGAAAAGUAAAGGGGAAAUUAAUUAUUUUGACAUCUAACUGUGUGUGUGGGAGGGUUCAGCUCUCCUAUCAAACUUCCUUAAUCAGUCUUUGGUUCACUGUUCUCCGGCACACACGGCAUGACCAACUGUCCUGAAAGGACAGUUUAUUUCUUCUGUGACAUAGUUGAGACUGUUGUAACACGUUAGUGAGUGAAGUACGUAAAGAUUUCACUUGAAGAUGUGGAUGUUGAUUUUGAUUGGACUAAACAUCAUCUCAAAGCUACAUGGCUAUUCACACGGCGGAGUCCCAGAGUCAUGUAAAUCAAUGUUGCCUGACCAUCGCCGGAGAGAUAAUCCGGUACUUCCUCAGACAUCUGAUCCUCCCUUUGAGGUUACAUAUGAACAUGGCAGCAGCAACAAAUAUCCUGUCAAAGUUACGCUCAAAAGCAUAGGAUCCACUCAAUUUAGGGGAUUUAUGUUGGAGGCACGAGAGGCCAGUCUCAAUGGGGAUGGUCCUGCAGUUGGUAAAUUCACAUUAGAUGACCCUUCUAUCAGUCAACUUUUACGAUGUAAUGAGUUAGAGGGCUCAGCUGUUAGUCACACAUCAAAUCAUGGAAAGACCACAGUCACUGUCUUCUGGACGCCUGUGGGAGAGGAACAAGACAUUAUUCUCAGGGCCACGUUUCUUGAGAACUUUAGCACUUUCUGGGAACCUGUGACUAUCAAUGUAACUUCAUUACCAAGUACUUCCCAGCCAGCAACUUCAGCAAGUACGUCAGAGCCAACGACUUUACAAAGUACCUCCCAGCCAACAACUUCAGCAAGUACGUCAGAGCCAACGACUUUACAAAGUACUUCCCAGCCAGCAACUUCAGCAAGUACGUCAGAGCCAACGACUUUACAAAGUACCUCCCAGCCAGCAACUUCAGCAAGUACGUCAGAGCCAACGACUUUACAAAGUACCUCCCAGCCAGCAACUUCAGCAAGUACGUCAGAGCCAACGACUGUAGUAACAACAAUAAUUCCUCCAAAUUGCAAUUGCUCCUGGAACCUAGAGAUCGCAACUGUGAACCUUGUCUUUAAAGAGUUUGAAGGGACAGUACACAACAUACUCACUGUCACAUUUGCCAAGAUUUCCCUCCGUCAUGACCUAAAUAAGGCAUCAUCAGUAGAAGUUAUAAAGACUUUAUGAUCUUUGGAGGCUAAGUAGAGAGUUCACAUUUGCCAAACACUACACAAACUCUCAUCUAUCUCACUAUCAUUCAUGUCACUUAAGAUAAUAUUGAGUGUAUUUCAUCUAUUUUGUAGGUGGUAGGUGCAGUGUGCAGCCUUCUUUGCAUUGUUCCUGAUAUAUUAAUCCUGAUCUGUCUUUGCAUCGUUGAACCCACAAAAGUCACUGCCAUAGCUCUUGUGACUGCGGUUACAGCGAUAAAUUUGAUAGAACUGGUGAUUGUGCUGUUACCAAUCGAACUCAGUCAUGAAUUGAAUCGGAUCCGUGAUUAUGCUGUUGAAGUAUGUUUCAUUCUCAAUCACAUUUUUGUAGUGACUUUCAUCUUUGUUGGGAUUGACGACAGUGAAGAUUGGAACACAAUAAUGCCUUUUAUCAUGGCUUUCACAGUAUGGAUAUUCCUGUCUCGAAUAUGGAGUCUUGUGCUCAUCAUUCAAAAAAGAAAAAUACUGAAGUGUCCUGAUACAGUCACAGUAAUGGUGCGUGUCAUCUUGAUCAUCUUCUUGGUUGGAACCAUAUGUUUUGCCAUACUAAUCACCUUGGUGGACGUGUUUUGUGUUAGGACUUAAUCAUACCUAAGUCAAACCUAAAAUAUGAAUCUGUUAAUGAUAUUUCCUUGUAUGCAUAUAAGUUGGACUUCUGUGUAAAAUGUAAAUAAAACAGAUUGCAAAGAUUUGCAAUUCUCAUUAACCCAUAUUUUAAUAGAACAUAAACAAGACAUCAGCUGUUAAUACUGGGAAAUUUUGUCAUUUCGUGGAAAAAAUAGGGCAAUGUCUAACAUUCUACAGUCCCAGUUCUAGCUGCUCAGCAGUCCUUGGUUUCCUCAUGUGCAAAAUGGUUUCUACUGAUGGAAAGAUCUGUAAUGCAGGAAUGCCAGUUUAACACCUGGACUCUUCCCCUAUGAAGCCACCCUGUUGUAAUGGAUGCAGUAUGUGAGUUAACAUCAUCUUGUUGAAAUAUGCAACACGUUCCCUGAAAGAGACAUUGUCUGGAUGGAGCAUAUGUUGCUCUAAAACCUCUAUGUUCUUUUAAGCUUUGGUGGUGCCUUUCAAGAUGAAUAAGGUGCCCAUGCCAUAGGCACUAAAACAACCCCAUGCCAUUAGAAAUGCAGGCUUUUGAAGUGAAGUGCUCAUAACAAACUUGAUGCAUCCUCAUCUGCACUCUGUAGGACAUCCAUGGUUUGCAAAAAGAAUUUCAAAUUUGAAUUCAUCUGACCACAGAACAGUUUUCCAUUUAGCCUCAAACCAUUUUAAAUGAGCUUUGCUUGAGGAUCAUGAGCAUCGACUUUUGACUUUCAACCUUUUCCCCACACAGAUAUUCCUCUAUUUCUCUGAAUCUAGUAAUUAUAUGAUACAAUAGAUGAUGGUAUCUUCAAAUUCUUCACAAUUUUAAAUGAUAAACAUCUUUCUGAAAUAGUUUCAAUGAUGUUGUUUCUAUAUGUAUUUUGUCACAGAUUGGUCAAACCCCUGUCCAUCUUUAUAUCUGAAAGUUUUGCCCCUAGGAAGUAGCCCUUUUAUACCCAGUCAUGUUAUUGACCUGUUGCCAGUUAACUUGACCCUCAACAAACCACAUCUCUGGCCCCCACAGAGCCCCUUUAACAUUUUUGAGGGUAUAAAAAAUGUUAAAUAUCACCAGAGUGUCAGACAGUUCUCUGUUUCCAAGAAAACCAAUCUAUCCAUACUGUUUAUUGAGGACACUAUUGUUCAGACAAUAGAAUUCUAUAGUAUGGAACUGAUCUUAGUUAACAAACUUCACAACCAACCAGCACUUUGAGGAGAUGGGUGUAGGAACAUUUUGUGGGCGAAAGGAGCAUGAUUGAGGAUGAAAUUAUAGCAAAGGGUGUCAAAUAUUUAUACCAGUGAUCUUCAACUCUGGUCCUGAGCUAACAUUUUCCAUGAAAUGGCAAAAUGUCUCAUUAUUAACAUCUGAUAUGUUGUUAUUGUUCUAGUUGGAAUGGAAUAUGUAUUUACAAGAUUUUCAAAUCUUUCUGUUUUUAUUAACAUUUUAUACAGUCUGCAUUUUUUUUGGAAUAGGGGUUGUAAAUGCAUCAAGUGACUUUUUAUGAGAGUGAAACCCCUGUCUCACUAGAAGUACCUCUAUAAUUACACAUUGUCAUGUACCAGGUAAGGUAAUAUCUGAGUAAAUAUUUGAACCGAGUGUUAAUACUUCCAGUGAAUACCUGUGUGGAAUGUCAUCUGAAAUCAAACCAUCCUAAACUACUGUGUUGCAAUAUGUUGAGAUCUUUUGGAUGUAUAUAUGUAAACAGCAUUUAUGAUCAUGAUAGUCAUAAAAUAUUGUUUUACUGUUCUGUUUUGUAACAUAAACCCAUAAACAUUUCUUUGGAAGUAUGUCCUCUCUAAUAAAAGUCAAACA
This is an RNA transcript of Cololabis saira (Pacific saury), 3721 nucleotides long. It is a transcript of the gene named putative ferric-chelate reductase 1, with no coding region annotated. Lineage: Eukaryota; Metazoa; Chordata; Actinopteri; Beloniformes; Belonidae. The transcript is spliced from 11 exons. The record is from RefSeq and is a predicted model, not a curated record.